RNAcentral lists this ribosomal RNA (660 nucleotides) under uncultured Pseudomonadota bacterium. Its description in RNAcentral is "bacterial SSU rRNA". It matches the Rfam family "Bacterial small subunit ribosomal RNA", at positions 60 to 709 of the family's 1533-position model. Lineage: Bacteria; Pseudomonadati; Pseudomonadota. The record is from RNAcentral.
AGUCGAACGGUAACAGGAAGAAGCUUGCUUCUUUGCUGACGAGUGGCGGACGGGUGAGUAAUGUCUGGGAAACUGCCUGAUGGAGGGGGAUAACUACUGGAAACGGUAGCUAAUACCGCAUAACGUCGCAAGACCAAAGAGGGGGACCUUCGGGCCUCUUGCCAUCGGAUGUGCCCAGAUGGGAUUAGCUAGUAGGUGGGGUAACGGCUCACCUAGGCGACGAUCCCUAGCUGGUCUGAGAGGAUGACCAGCCACACUGGAACUGAGACACGGUCCAGACUCCUACGGGAGGCAGCAGUGGGGAAUAUUGCACAAUGGGCGCAAGCCUGAUGCAGCCAUGCCGCGUGUAUGAAGAAGGCCUUCGGGUUGUAAAGUACUUUCAGCGGGGAGGAAGGGAGUAAAGUUAAUACCUUUGCUCAUUGACGUUACCCGCAGAAGAAGCACCGGCUAACUCCGUGCCAGCAGCCGCGGUAAUACGGAGGGUGCAAGCGUUAAUCGGAAUUACUGGGCGUAAAGCGCACGCAGGCGGUUUGUUAAGUCAGAUGUGAAAUCCCCGGGCUCAACCUGGGAACUGCAUCUGAUACUGGCAAGCUUGAGUCUCGUAGAGGGGGGUAGAAUUCCAGGUGUAGCGGUGAAAUGCGUAGAGAUCUGGAGGAAUAC